UACGGGGGGAGCAAGCGUUGUUCGGAUUUACUGGGCGUAAAGGGCUCGUAGGCGGCCAACUAAGUCGAACGUGAAAUCCCUCAGCUUAACUGGGGAACUGCGUCCGAUACUGAUUGGCUUGAAUCCGGAAGAGGGAUGCGGAAUUCCAGGUGUAGCGGUGAAAUGCGUAGAUACCAGGAGGAACACCGGUGGCGAAGGCGGCUUCCUGGCCCAGUACUGACGCUGAGGCACGAAAGCGUGGGGAGCGAACGGG
Molecule: ribosomal RNA, 253 nt
Filed under: uncultured bacterium
Lineage: Bacteria
Description: partial 16S ribosomal RNA
Rfam family: Bacterial small subunit ribosomal RNA
Source: RNAcentral